CAAUAAUGCAAGUCGAACGAACUUCCGUUAAUUGAUUAUGACGUGCUUGCACUGAAUGAGAUUUUAACACGAAGUGAGUGGCGGACGGGUGAGUAACACGUGGGUAACCUGCCCAGAAGCAGGGGAUAACACCUGGAAACAGAUGCUAAUACCGUAUAACAGAGAAAACCGCCUGGUUUUCUUUUAAAAGAUGGCUCUGCUAUCACUUCUGGAUGGACCCGCGGCGCAUUAGCUGGUUGGUGAGGUAACGGCUCACCAAGGCGAUGAUGCGUAGCCGACCUGAGAGGGUAAUCGGCCACAUUGGGACUGAGACACGGCCCAGACUCCUACGGGAGGCAGCAGUAGGGAAUCUUCCACAAUGGACGCAAGUCUGAUGGAGCAACGCCGCGUGAGUGAAGAAGGGUUUCGGCUCGUAAAGCUCUGUUGUUAAAGAAGAACGUGGGUGAGAGUAACUGUUCACCCAGUGACGGUAUUUAACCAGAAAGCCACGGCUAACUACGUGCCAGCAGCCGCGGUAAUACGUAGGUGGCAAGCGUUAUCCGGAUUUAUUGGGCGUAAAGCGAGCGCAGGCGGUCUUUUAAGUCUAAUGUGAAAGCCUUCGGCUCAACCGAAGAAGUGCAUUGGAAACUGGGAGACUUGAGUGCAGAAGAGGACAGUGGAACUCCAUGUGUAGCGGUGAAAUGCGUAGAUAUAUGGAAGAACACCAGUGGCGAAGGCGGGCUGUCUGGGUCUGUAACUGACGCUUGAGGCUCGA
Molecule: ribosomal RNA, 754 nt
Filed under: Pediococcus acidilactici
Lineage: Bacteria; Bacillati; Bacillota; Bacilli; Lactobacillales; Lactobacillaceae
Description: bacterial SSU rRNA
Rfam family: Bacterial small subunit ribosomal RNA
Source: RNAcentral